GGGAUGUGUUUAACUUUCCAUUUGUACUGCCCCUAUUGUUGAUUAAGGCUUAUCUACUGUUUGGUGUAAGUCAUUUAGAAAGAAAAAAAAAAAAAAGUUAUGGAACACAUAGCACCACGUUCCAGGCAAAUGCUUUAGCGAAGGCUGCUGUUAUGAAAAGGAUUUUCAAAUAAGGGGAAUAAUGAUCUUCAGAUUCUGACCUCCUGGCACAGCAGUGAGAUUUAUCAGGAGGGGCAUGUGACUAGUUAAGACACACAGCCCCAGCUUGAAGGAAACAGCUGCUCAUUUCGUGCUUUAGCACUUGGCAGCUGGACAAGGAAGGGUGAUGUUUGUGUUGAAUACCUCUGCAGAACCAAGUACAGGGAAACUCAUUGAAAAUACCGAGAUCUUUUUGCAUGCCUGCUUGCCUGUGAGCUCUGAGUCAUCGGCAACUUCUGCAGAUGUAAAACCACAGCACUGUGCAAGGCAAGCAUCCCUGAUUCAUGUGAGUGUGCAGUAGUUGGCAAUUUUCACGAGUUCCUAGGAUGGAGCAGCAACUCCUUCUGCUGUCAUGUGUGUCUGUUGCUGUCUUCUAGUGUAAUAUUUUAAUUUGCAUUCUCUCUUUAAAAAGCAAUUGCUCUCAAUUGAAUGGGGUGCUGCCACCAGGGAGUAAGAAGGGUUACUGAUCAUUAGCAACUGGUCCAGUCUUCUCGCCUUGUCUGGGACCUAUUAUCACAUCUGUGGAGAGAUAGCAGUUACAUGUGAACUGUUUUCUACAUUCAUCAAAGGGAAAACAAAAGAUCAUUCCAGUAGAAAUACACCAUAACAGCCAAAUGAGGGAAAGUGGCCAAAGUCCUCUCCUGCCCCUCUGUCCUUUUAACUCUGUCUUGCUCCAUCCCAGACAUCCAGCUUCCCAUUACCUAAGUCUCUGAAAGCCUCUUCCUGCCUUUAUUGUUUUGCCUGUUUGCCAGUUGCCUUCUAUUUACUACACUGAUAAGUACUUCCCAGGCCAUAAACAUGUGGUCGAGAUAUUUCUGAAGUUACCCCAUGUUUUGAUUGAUCUCACACUGGCAUGGGUACAGGUUGUGAAUUCAUGGGGAGAGAUGUAAGGUAUGGGAUAAUGGGGCUGAAGAGGAAAACAAACAUGCGCUUAACCAUCCCUCUUCACAAGGCAUUGCCCUUGCUUUUUGUAAAGUAACCGGUUGUUCUUCAGCUGGGGAAAUGCCAGAAACCAGAAAGCGUGAGAAAUUAGAUACAGUCCUUCAUGCUGGAAAUGAUGGCAGAUAGGUGGUAGGUGGUGAAGUCUCUCUUUGUUGGUAUCUGUGACUAUGGGUAUCUUUUCCUGAUACAACAUAGCUGCAGAGGUGGAGGAGGGAAGGGGCGAUAUGUUUUAACAUCUCGCUUUCUGGGACACUUAGCAAUAAUGUCCACGUUUUGCAUGACCAGCACAAUUCUGAGGAGUUUUAAGUGCUUGAGAAACUCCAUACAUGGCUGUAAU
Molecule: long non-coding RNA, 1477 nt
Filed under: Anser brachyrhynchus (Pink-footed goose)
Lineage: Eukaryota; Metazoa; Chordata; Aves; Anseriformes; Anatidae
Description: lncRNA (ENSABRG00000018717.1)
Source: RNAcentral